Ornithodoros turicata is the source of this 1401-nucleotide long non-coding RNA. RefSeq lists it as uncharacterized. The transcript has 3 exons. The record is from RefSeq and is a predicted model, not a curated record. Lineage: Eukaryota; Metazoa; Arthropoda; Arachnida; Ixodida; Argasidae.
CGGAUUUGAGAGAUUUUGGUAAUGCAGGAUGCUCCAGCCGUGCUGUUCCCAGUGAUCGUUGCACUUCGACGACUCCACAUCGCGCAGAUACCCUUGUAGGCUCAACCUUUGGUGGUAGUGUUGUUCCUCAAACUGUAACUGAUGCCGGUCGGAAUGCUUGUUUCGCUUCGAGCACAAGCGAAAUUCGUCCUUCAAAUUCGUCAUUUGCUGAUUCAGCUGAGGUAGAUAAUGUAGUCCCCUGCAGUUCAGGUUGUGACGAGCUUGCCGGUUCCAGAGCAAGUCCCGUUCCAAUCACUGCCGCUGUUACACCCAGUCGAUCUUCAUCUUUCGAUACUGGCAAUGUUCACCAGACACAGAGUCAGCGCACAAGCAGUGUGAAUGGUCGGCGUAUAGUGGAGAGUGAUCACUUCUUCUCGUCUUUGCAAAGUUUGUCGGUACAUAGUCCGUUUGGUUGCGGCCUGGCUGACAUGGAAAUUGUAUCAGAACAUCGGCGAGGUCUGUGUAGCUCUUUCAGUUUGAAGUGCAGGAUGUGUCUGAGGAAAGAUGUAGUCACAACAGAGGCACCAGUUGAUCAACUUGUUCAACAACGCAUGGACGUCAAUUCCUCAGCAGUGAACGGUAUCGUGUCUAUAGGUUCUGGUUUCUCAGGCCUUCGCGAGCUCCUAGGUGCUCUGGACAUGGGCCUGUAGCUCUCGGCCAGGCGGCGUUGCGAUCAGCGGACGACAGCGCCGCAUGUGGAAGCAAAUCGAAACAAUGGUCCGCACAAGAGUGUUUCGGUUUCGCGGGUUUCGCUCUGGCGCAAGCAAGCAAUGUAUCGCAUCUUGCGUGGGUUUGAAAAGCUGGAGGUCAUUGACGAUUGGGCAAGUUACUAGUCAAUGUUUUCGGCGUCGACCAAGCAUCGGACGGUAACGAAAUCGUCGUUAAUGCAUUUCGGAAGAAGUGAAGGACAGCGUGGUUUAUAGCGUCCGGUUCGAGGUGUCCAAGUGCUCGUGGCAGUUUAUGUUGCGUCGUGUACCUGUAAAGCGGGAAUUGCGGGAAAAUGUAAGCACGCGGCAGCAGUCUGCUGCUACCUGAACAAGGAAGAAGACGCCACAUGUACGGGCAACAACAAAAGAGGGGCAAGCCAAGCUCAAAGCCGCAGGCGUGACAUGACAAAGGGUAUCGCCGAUUUAUUUCCGAAGCUGAUGAGGCUACAGUCAUCUCUGCUGCAUCGUUGAUCAUUUGCCAAUGAUCUUUCUCUACUGAACGCUGCUGCUGUACCCUGCUGCAUCGUUGAUCGUUGGCUAUUCUGUUAUUCUUCAGCAUUUUAUAUGUUUCAUCAACCAGUAUUGUACCGUGUACCUAGUAUGUUGCCUCAAAACAAUGCUUUAUUGCUCUUGGUAAUAAACAGCUUGCAUCUGA